UCGUAUCUUAAGUAUAAAUGGGGAGUCGGACCUGCCCGGUGAAGAGUUUUUAACGGCCGCGGUACUCUGACCGUGCAAAGGUAGCAUAAUCAUUUGCCUUAUAAUUGAAGGCUGGUAUGAAUGGUUUGACAAGAAUAUAGCUGUCUCUUUAUUGAUUUGAUAGAAUUUUAUUUCUGGGUGAAAAAGCCUAGAUUUAAUUAAAAGACAAGAAGACCCUAUCGAGCUUUAAAGAAUUGAGUGGAUAUGAUUAAAUAAUGCCGAUAUAAAAUUGUAGAAGGCAAAGCUGCUUAAUAUUUUGGUUGGGGCGACUGAGGAACAUGUAAAGCUUCCUUUAUAUUAUUUCUAAACUUUCGAGUGUUGAUCCAAUUAUAUUGAUUAAGGGAAUUAGUUACCGUAGGGAUAACAGCAUUAUCCUUCUUGAGAGCCCAUAUCGAAAGAAGGGUUUGUGACCUCGAUGUUGGACCAGAAUGUCCUAAAGAUGCAGAAGUCUUUGAGGGUUGGUCUGUUCGACCAUUAAAAUUCUA
This 524-nucleotide ribosomal RNA is filed under the name Hastula albula. RNAcentral's name for it is "partial 16S ribosomal RNA". It matches the Rfam family "Bacterial large subunit ribosomal RNA", at positions 1823 to 2598 of the family's 2925-position model. Lineage: Eukaryota; Metazoa; Mollusca; Gastropoda; Neogastropoda; Terebridae. The record is from RNAcentral.